This 439-nucleotide ribosomal RNA is filed under the name uncultured bacterium. Its description in RNAcentral is "partial 16S ribosomal RNA". It matches the Rfam family "Bacterial small subunit ribosomal RNA", at positions 338 to 795 of the family's 1533-position model. The record is from RNAcentral.
CCUACGGGGGACUGCAGUGGGGAAUAUUGCACAAUGGGCGAAAGCCUGAUGCAGCAACGCCGCGUGAGCGAUGAAGGCCUUCGGGUCGUAAAGCUCUGUUCUCAAGGAAGAUAAUGACGGUACUUGAGGACGAAGCCCCGGCUAACUACGAGCCGGCAGGCGCGGUAAUACGUAGGUGGCUGGCGUUAUCCGGAAUUACCGGGCGUAAAGGGUGCGUAGGUGGUUUCUUAAGUCAGAGGUGAAAGGCUACGGCUCAACCGUAGUAAGCCUGUGAAACUGGGAAACUCGAGUGCAGGAGCGGAGAGUGGAAUUCCUAGUGUAGCGGUGAAAUGCGUAGAUAUUAGGAGGAACCCCAGUUGCGAAGGCGGCACUCUGGACUGUCACUGACACUGAGGCACGAAAGCGUGGGGAGCAAACAGGAUUAGAUACCCCAGUAGUC